UAGGGAAUCUUCCGCAAUGGACGCAAGUCUGACGGAGCAACGCCGCGUGAGUGAAGAAGGAUUUCGGUUCGUAAAACUCUGUUGUUAGAGAAGAACAGCGCAUAGAGUAACUGUUAUGCGUGUGACGGUAUCUAACCAGAAAGCCACGGCUAACUACGUGCCAGCAGCCGCGGUAAUACGUAGGUGGCAAGCGUUGUCCGGAUUUAUUGGGCGUAAAGCGAGCGCAGGCGGUCAAUUAAGUCUGAUGUGAAAGCCCCCGGCUCAACCGGGGAGGGUCAUUGGAAACUGGUUGACUUGAGUGCAGGAGAGGAGAGUGGAAUUCCAUGGGUAGCGGUGAAAUGCGUAGAUAUAUGGGGGAAAACCAGUGGCGAAGGCGACUCUCUGGUCUGUAACUGACGCUGAGGCUCGAAAGCGUGGGUAGCAAACAGG
Molecule: ribosomal RNA, 429 nt
Filed under: Bacteroidota bacterium
Lineage: Bacteria; Pseudomonadati; Bacteroidota
Description: Bacteroidetes bacterium partial 16S ribosomal RNA
Rfam family: Bacterial small subunit ribosomal RNA
Source: RNAcentral